This 316-nucleotide ribosomal RNA is filed under the name uncultured bacterium. RNAcentral describes it as "partial 16S ribosomal RNA". It matches the Rfam family "Bacterial small subunit ribosomal RNA", at positions 15 to 360 of the family's 1533-position model. The record is from RNAcentral.
GAUCAUGGCUCAGAGCGAACGCUGGCGGCAGGCUUAAGACAUGCAAGUCGAGCGGGACCUUCGGGGUCAGNNGCGGANGGGUGAGUAACGCGUGGGAACGUGCCUUNUGGUUCGGAAUAACCCUGGAAACUAGGGCUAAUACCGGAUACGCNCUUANGGGGAAAGGUUUNCUGCCGNAAGAUCGGCCCGCGUCUGAUUAGCUAGUUGGUGGGGUAAUGGCCUNNCAAGGCGACGAUCAGUAGCUGGUCUGAGAGGAUGAUCAGCCACACNGGGACUGAGACACGGCCCAGACUNCUACGGGACGCAGCAGAAGGGC